RNAcentral lists this ribosomal RNA (495 nucleotides) under uncultured bacterium. RNAcentral describes it as "partial 16S ribosomal RNA". It matches the Rfam family "Bacterial small subunit ribosomal RNA", at positions 28 to 523 of the family's 1533-position model. The record is from RNAcentral.
GAUGAACGCUCGCGGGAGGCCUAACACACGCAAGCCGAGCGGUAUUUCUUCUUCGGCAGAGAGAGAGCGGCGUACGGGUGCGGAACACGUGUGCAACCUGCCUUUAUCUAGCGGAUAGCCUUUCGAAAGGAAGAUUAAUACUCUAUAAUAUAUUAAUUGGCAUCAAUUGAUAUUGAAAACUCCGGUGGAUAGAGAUGGGCACGCGCAAGAUUAGCUAGUUCGUGAGGUAACGGCUCACCAAGGCAAUGAUCUUUAGGGGGCCUGAGAGGGUGAGUCCCCGCGCUGGUAAUUAGAGACGGACCAGACUCCUACGGGAGGCAGCGGUGAGGAAUAUUCGUAAAUGGGUGCGAGGCUGAACCAGCCAUCGCGCGUGAAGGAGUAAGGUCCUAUGGAUUGUAAACUUCUUUUGUAUAGGGAUAAACCUACCCUCGUGAGGGUAGCUGAAGGUACUAUACGAAUAAGCACCGGCUAACUCCGUGCCAGCCGCCGCCGUAA